This is a small nuclear RNA of Chionomys nivalis (European snow vole), 103 nucleotides long. Lineage: Eukaryota; Metazoa; Chordata; Mammalia; Rodentia; Cricetidae. The record is from RefSeq and is a predicted model, not a curated record.
GUGCUCACGUCAGAAGCACGUAUACUAACAUAGAACGAUACAGAGAUUAGCGUGUUCCCUGAGCAAGGAUGACACUCAACUUUGAGAAGCAUCCCAUAUUUUU